RNAcentral lists this ribosomal RNA (497 nucleotides) under uncultured bacterium. Its description in RNAcentral is "partial 16S ribosomal RNA". It matches the Rfam family "Bacterial small subunit ribosomal RNA", at positions 28 to 507 of the family's 1533-position model. The record is from RNAcentral.
GAUGAACGCUGGCGGCGUGCCUAAUACAUGCAAGUCGAGCGAACAGACGAGGUGCUUGCUCCUCUGACGUUAGCGGCGGACGGGUGAGUAACACGUGGAUAACCUACCUAUAAGACUGGGAUAACUUCGGGAAACCGGUGCUAAUACCGCAUAAUAUAUUGAACCGCAUGGUUCAAUAGUGAAAGACGCUUUUGCUUCCACCUAUAGAUGUAUCCCCGCCGCAUAAGCUAUUUGGUAAGGUAACGGCCUACCAAGCCAACGAUGAGUAGCCGACUUGAGAGGGUGAUCGGCAACACUGGAACUGAGAAAGGGUCAAGACUCCUAGGGGAGGAAGCGGAAGGGAAUCUUCCGAAAUGGGGGAAGGCUUGACGGACAAACGCGGCGUGAGUAAUGAAGGUCUUCGGAUCGUAAAACUCUGUUAUUAGGGAAGAACAAAUGUGUAAGUAACUAUGCACGUAUUGACGGUAACUACUCAGAAAGCCACGGCUAACUACGUG